GCCGGCGUAGCUCAGUGGUAGAGCAAGCGUUUCAUAAGCGCUGGGUCGCAGGUUCGAUUCCUGCCGUCGGCA
This 72-nucleotide transfer RNA is filed under the name Patescibacteria group bacterium. Its description in RNAcentral is "tRNA-Met". It matches the Rfam family "tRNA". Rfam says of the family: Transfer RNA (tRNA) molecules are approximately 80 nucleotides in length. Their secondary structure includes four short double-helical elements and three loops (D, anti-codon, and T loops). The record is from RNAcentral.